RNAcentral lists this transfer RNA (74 nucleotides) under Candidatus Moraniibacteriota bacterium. Its description in RNAcentral is "tRNA-Pro". It matches the Rfam family "tRNA". From Rfam's summary of the family: Transfer RNA (tRNA) molecules are approximately 80 nucleotides in length. Lineage: Bacteria; Candidatus Moraniibacteriota. The record is from RNAcentral.
CGGGGUGUAGUAUAGUGGUAGUACGAGUGGUUUGGGACCAUUUAGUCUGAGUUCGAUUCUCAGCACCCCGACAA